UAGGGAAUCUUCCGCAAUGGACGCAAGUCUGACGGAGCAACGCCGCGUGAGUGAAGAAGGAUUUCGGUUCGUAAAACUCUGUUGUUAGAGAAGAACAGCGCAUAGAGUAACUGUUAUGCGUGUGACGGUAUCUAACCAGAAAGCCACGGCUAACUACGUGCCAGCAGCCGCGGUAAUACGUAGGUCCCGAGCGUUGUCCGGAUUUAUUGGGUGUAAAGCGAGCGCAGGCGGUUAGAAAAGUCUGAAGUGAAAGGCAGUGGCUCAACCAUUGUAGGCUUUGGAAACUGUUUAACUUGGGUGCAGAAGGGGAGAGUGGAAUUCCAUGUGUAGCGGUGAAAUGCGUAGAUAUAUGGAGGAACACCGGUGGCGAAAGCGGCUCUCUGGUCUGUAACUGACGCUGAGGCUCGAAAGCGUGGGGAGCGAACAGG
Molecule: ribosomal RNA, 428 nt
Filed under: Bacteroidota bacterium
Lineage: Bacteria; Pseudomonadati; Bacteroidota
Description: Bacteroidetes bacterium partial 16S ribosomal RNA
Rfam family: Bacterial small subunit ribosomal RNA
Source: RNAcentral